CAGCCGCCGCGGUAAUACGAAGGGUGCAAGCGUUAAUCGGAAUUACUGGGCGUAAAGCGUGCGUAGGCGGUGAGUUAAGUCUGCUGUGAAAUCCCCGGGCUCAACCUGGGAAUGGCAGUGGAUACUGGCUCGCUAGAGUGUGUCAGAGGAUGGUGGAAUUCCCGGUGUAGCGGUGAAAUGCGUAGAGAUCGGGAGGAACAUCAGUGGCGAAGGCGGCCAUCUGGGACAACACUGACGCUGAGGCACGAAAGCGUGGGGAGCAAACAGGAUUAGAGACCCCCGUAGUCCCUGUCUCUUAUAC
RNAcentral lists this ribosomal RNA (301 nucleotides) under uncultured bacterium. RNAcentral's name for it is "partial 16S ribosomal RNA". It matches the Rfam family "Bacterial small subunit ribosomal RNA", at positions 509 to 807 of the family's 1533-position model. The record is from RNAcentral.